Molecule: ribosomal RNA, 253 nt
Filed under: uncultured bacterium
Lineage: Bacteria
Description: partial 16S ribosomal RNA
Rfam family: Bacterial small subunit ribosomal RNA
Source: RNAcentral
UACGUAGGGGGCUAGCGUUGUCCGGAAUCAUUGGGCGUAAAGCGCGUGUAGGCGGUUUGGUAAGUCAGCUGUGAAAGUCGGGGGCUCAACCCUCGAAUGCCGGUGGAUACUGUCGAACUAGAGUGCGGAAGAGGCGAGUGGAAUUCCUGGUGUAGCGGUGAAAUGCGCAGAUAUCAGGAGGAACACCAAUUGCGAAGGCAGCUCGCUGGGACGUAACUGACGCUGAGACGCGAAAGCGUGGGGAGCAAACAGG